CUCUUUAUGUGUAUAUGUAAAGUAUGACCUGCCCACUGAUAGUAUUGAAGGGCCGCGGUAAUUUGACCGUGCAAAGGUAGCAUAAUAAUUAGUCUCUUAAUUAGAGGCUGGUAUGAAUGGUUUGACGAAAUAUAUACUGUCUAUUAUUUUAUAUUAGAAUUUAAUUAUUAAGUUAAAAAGCUUAAAUGUAUUUAUGGGACGAGAAGACCCUAUAGAGUUUAACAAAUUUCAUUAUAUUUUGGGUUUGAUUACUUUUAUAUAAUGUCUUAUGUUUUGUUGGGGUGACAGAAAGAUAGGAAAAACUCUUUUUAUAGAAUUAUAUUUAUAUAUAUAUCUAUGAUCCAUUAAUAGUGAUUAUAAGACUAAAUUACC
This 372-nucleotide ribosomal RNA is filed under the name Symploce nigra. RNAcentral describes it as "Symploce sp. n. 2 ZQW-2021a partial large subunit ribosomal RNA". The stretch from base 1 to 141 matches the Rfam family "Archaeal large subunit ribosomal RNA", at positions 1923 to 2097 of the family's 2987-position model. Lineage: Eukaryota; Metazoa; Arthropoda; Insecta; Blattodea; Blattellidae. The record is from RNAcentral.